This 254-nucleotide ribosomal RNA is filed under the name uncultured bacterium. Its description in RNAcentral is "partial 16S ribosomal RNA". It matches the Rfam family "Bacterial small subunit ribosomal RNA", at positions 524 to 776 of the family's 1533-position model. The record is from RNAcentral.
UACGUAGGGAGCAAGCGUUGUUCGGAUUUACUGGGCGGAAAGGGCGCGUAGGCGGCGCGGUAAGUCACUUGUGAAAUCUCUGAGCUUAACUCAGAACGGCCAAGUGAUACUGCAGUGCUAGAGUGCAGAAGGGGCAAUCGGAAUUCUUGGUGUAGCGGUGAAAUGCGUAGAUAUCAAGAGGAACACCUGAGGUGAAGACGGGUUGCUGGGCUGACACUGACGCUGAGUGCGCGAAAGCCAGGGGAGCGAACGGG